Molecule: ribosomal RNA, 253 nt
Filed under: uncultured bacterium
Lineage: Bacteria
Description: partial 16S ribosomal RNA
Rfam family: Bacterial small subunit ribosomal RNA
Source: RNAcentral
UACGUAGGUGGCAAGCGUUAUCCGGAUUUAUUGGGCGUAAAGCGAGCGCAGGCGGUUGCUUAGGUCUGAUGUGAAAGCCUUCGGCUUAACCGAGGAAUUGCAUCGGAAACUGUGUUUCUUGAGUGCAGAAGAGGAGAGUGGAACUCCAUGUGUAGCGGUGAAAUGCAUAGAUAUCACGCAGAACCCCGAUUGCGAAGGCAGCAUACCGGUGCACAACUGACGCUCAGGCACGAAAGCGUGGGUAUCGAACAGG